CAGUCGCCGCGGUAAUACGUAAGUGGCAAGCGUUGUCCGGAAUUAUUGGGCGUAAAGCGCGUCUAGGUGGUUAUAUAAGUCUGAUGUGAAAAUGCAGGGCUCAACUCUGUAUUGCGUUGGAAACUGUAUAACUAGAGUACUGGAGAGGUAAGCGGAACUACAAGUGUAGAGGUGAAAUUCGUAGAUAUUUGUAGGAAUGCCGAUGGGGAAGCCAGCUUACUGGACAGAUACUGACGCUGAAGCGCGAAAGCGUGGGUAGCAAACAGGAUUAGAUACCCGAGUAGUCCCUGUCUCUUAUACA
RNAcentral lists this ribosomal RNA (301 nucleotides) under uncultured bacterium. Its description in RNAcentral is "partial 16S ribosomal RNA". It matches the Rfam family "Bacterial small subunit ribosomal RNA", at positions 509 to 808 of the family's 1533-position model. The record is from RNAcentral.